Molecule: ribosomal RNA, 874 nt
Filed under: Priestia megaterium
Lineage: Bacteria; Bacillati; Bacillota; Bacilli; Caryophanales; Bacillaceae
Description: bacterial LSU rRNA
Rfam family: Bacterial large subunit ribosomal RNA
Source: RNAcentral
GUUAUAUGGUCAAGUGAAGAAGCGCAUACGGUGGAUGCCUUGGCAGUCAGAGGCGAUGAAAGACGUGGUAGCCUGCGAAAAGCUUCGGGGAGUCGGCAAACAGACUUUGAUCCGGAGAUGUCUGAAUGGGGGAACCCAGCCAUCAUAAGAUGGUUAUCUUGUACUGAAUACAUAGGUGCAAGAGGCGAACCAGGGGAACUGAAACAUCUAAGUACCCUGAGGAAAAGAAAUCAACCGAGAUUCCCUUAGUAGUGGCGAGCGAACGGGGACUAGCCCUUAAGUGGCUUUGAGAUUAGCGGAACGCUCUGGAAAGUGCGGCCAUAGUGGGUGAUAGCCCUGUACGCGAAAAUCUCUUAUCAAUGAAAUCGAGUAGGACGGAGCACGAGAAACUUUGUCUGAAUAUGGGGGGACCAUCCUCCAAGGCUAAAUACUACUGACUGACCGAUAGUGAACUAGUACCGUGAGGGAAAGGCGAAAAGAACCCCGGAGAGGGGAGUGAAAUAGAUCCUGAAACCGUAUGCGUACAAGCAGUGGGAGCAGACUUUGUUCUGUGACUGCGUACCUUUUGUAUAAUGGGUCAGCGACUUAUUUUCAGUGGCGAGCUUAACCGAAUAGGGGAGGCGUAGCGAAAGCGAGUCUUAAUAGGGCGUCUAGUCGCUGGGAAUAGACCCGAAACCGGGCGAUCUAUCCAUGGGCAGGUUGAAGGUUAGGUAACACUGACUGGAGGACCGAACCGACUACCGUUGAAAAGUUAGCGGAUGACCUGUGGAUCGGAGUGAAAGGCUAAUCAAGCUCGGAGAUAGCUGGUUCUCCUCGAAAGCUAUUUAGGUAGCGCCUCAUGUAUCACUGUAGGGGGUAGAGCACUGUUUCGGCU